Molecule: ribosomal RNA, 1534 nt
Filed under: uncultured bacterium
Lineage: Bacteria
Description: bacterial SSU rRNA
Rfam family: Bacterial small subunit ribosomal RNA
Source: RNAcentral
GUUUGAUCCUGGCUCAGGAUGAACGCCGGCGGUGUGCCUAAUACAUGCAAGUCGAACGCGUUGGCCCAAUUGAUUGAUGGUGCUUGCACCUGAUUGAUUUUGGUCGCCAACGAGUGGCGGACGGGUGAGUAACACGUAGGUAACCUGCCCAGAAGCGGGGGACAACAUUUGGAAACAGAUGCUAAUACCGCAUAACAGCGUUGUUCGCAUGAACAACGCUUAAAAGAUGGCUUCUCGCUAUCACUUCUGGAUGGACCUGCGGUGCAUUAGCUUGUUGGUGGGGUAACGGCCUACCAAGGCGAUGAUGCAUAGCCGAGUUGAGAGACUGAUCGGCCACAAUGGGACUGAGACACGGCCCAUACUCCUACGGGAGGCAGCAGUAGGGAAUCUUCCACAAUGGGCGCAAGCCUGAUGGAGCAACACCGCGUGAGUGAAGAAGGGUUUCGGCUCGUAAAGCUCUGUUGUUAAAGAAGAACACGUAUGAGAGUAACUGUUCAUACGUUGACGGUAUUUAACCAGAAAGUCACGGCUAACUACGUGCCAGCAGCCGCGGUAAUACGUAGGUGGCAAGCGUUAUCCGGAUUUAUUGGGCGUAAAGAGAGUGCAGGCGGUUUUCUAAGUCUGAUGUGAAAGCCUUCGGCUUAACCGGAGAAGUGCAUCGGAAACUGGAUAACUUGAGUGCAGAAGAGGGUAGUGGAACUCCAUGUGUAGCGGUGGAAUGCGUAGAUAUAUGGAAGAACACCAGUGGCGAAGGCGGCUACCUGGUCUGCAACUGACGCUGAGACUCGAAAGCAUGGGUAGCGAACAGGAUUAGAUACCCUGGCAGUCCAUGCCGUAAACGAUGAGUGCUAGGUGUUGGAGGGUUUCCGCCCUUCAGUGCCGGAGCUAACGCAUUAAGCACUCCGCCUGGGGAGUACGACCGCAAGGUUGAAACUCAAAGGAAUUGACGGGGGCCCGCACAAGCGGUGGAGCAUGUGGUUUAAUUCGAAGCUACGCGAAGAACCUUACCAGGUCUUGACAUCUUGCGCCAACCCUAGAGAUAGGGCGUUUCCUUCGGGAACGCAAUGACAGGUGGUGCAUGGUCGUCGUCAGCUCGUGUCGUGAGAUGUUGGGUUAAGUCCCGCAACGAGCGCAACCCUCGUUACUAGUUGCCAGCAUUAAGUUGGGCACUCUAGUGAGACUGCCGGUGACAAACCGGAGGAAGGUGGGGACGACGUCAGAUCAUCAUGCCCCUUAUGACCUGGGCUACACACGUGCUACAAUGGACGGUACAACGAGUCGCGAACUCGCGAGGGCAAGCAAAUCUCUUAAAACCGUUCUCAGUUCGGACUGCAGGCUGCAACUCGCCUGCACGAAGUCGGAAUCGCUAGUAAUCGCGGAUCAGCAUGCCGCGGUGAAUACGUUCCCGGGCCUUGUACACACCGCCCGUCACACCAUGAGAGUUUGUAACACCCAAAGUCGGUGGGGUAACCUUUUAGGAGCCAGCCGCCUAAGGUGGGACAGAUGAUUAGGGUGAAGUCGUAACAAGGUAACC